RNAcentral lists this ribosomal RNA (433 nucleotides) under uncultured bacterium. RNAcentral describes it as "partial 16S ribosomal RNA". It matches the Rfam family "Bacterial small subunit ribosomal RNA", at positions 29 to 507 of the family's 1533-position model. The record is from RNAcentral.
AACGAACGCUGGCGGCAUGCCUAACACAUGCAAGUCGAACGAGACGUUCGGGUCUAGUGGCGCACGGGUGCGUAACGCGUGGGAACCUGCCCUUAGGUUCGGAAUAACUCCCCGAAAGGGGUGUUAAUACCGGAUAAUGUCUUCGGACCAAAGAUUUAUUGCCUCUGGGUGGGCGCGCGUUGGUUUAGCUAGUUGGUAGGGUAAAAGCCUACCAAGGCGACGAUCCAUAGCUGGUGUGAGAGGAUGAUCAGCCACACUGGGACUGAGACACGGCCCAGACCCCUACGGGGAGCAGCAGUGGGUAAUAUUGGACAAUGGGCGAAAGCCUGAUCCAGCAACGCCGCGUAAGUGAUGAAGGCCUUAGGGUUGUAAAGCUCUUUUGCACGGAGUGAUAAUGACAGUACCGGGAGAAUAAGCUCCGGCUAACUACGUG